Long non-coding RNA from Alosa alosa (allis shad), 2370 nucleotides. RefSeq lists it as uncharacterized. NCBI's taxonomy places the organism in Eukaryota, Metazoa, Chordata, Actinopteri, Clupeiformes, Clupeidae. The record is from RefSeq and is a predicted model, not a curated record. The transcript is spliced from 6 exons.
AAUUUGAAGUUGAUGAUGGCCCUCUGGUAAGAUUCACUUUCGAUUCAACUUGUCGUGGGCUCAUAUGUAAUGGAAUCUGGAAAAAAAAUUGAUCAGGCAUUUCCUCAUAGCAAAGCUAGCCUAUAAUUACAGGUGACCGUGAUCACACGAUUCAGUUGUCUUCAGGUAAUAGAGGAGCAGGUGUGAACCAGGUGAAUCUCCAGAUUUGGCAAAGGUAAGAACUAUUUAAAGCAUACUCAAGUUAAAAAGCAGGAAUAGCCUUCAACACAUUAAUCUGGGUGCUGAAUUUUUGAACAAUUUAUAAACAGUUUUGAAUUAAGGGCAGCACUCAUCAGUUGUUUUAAACCUGUUUAAUGACCAACAAGCAUACUGGAAUUAACAAAUUCUGUAAAUCCAAACAAAACUAUUAUCAAUUAGAUUAGAACAUAUUAGAAGCUUAUUAGAUUCUGCAGAGCUUGUCAUUCUACGAAAAGGGUACCAUUUUCGUCCACAACACAAAGAGCCAAAGUGUGUUUGUAAAGCCUAAAGCUAAUAAUGCAAGGGUUCUUGUUAACAUGAUGUACAAGAAAAUACUAUUCUUAAAGACUAGUAUCACACUAUUUUUAACCAUUUACUGUAGUGUAUGGGCAUUUCCUUGUGUCCGGGUUGAGCGACAUGACAUUUACCUCGUAUCACCACAUAAAUGUUUUUACACUGUCAUUGCUAAGCAAUGAUUUCUAAUUGAAAGCAUGCAUGUUGAGUCAAUAACUUGACCGUUAUUGGAUAACUAGAGCAAUUUCACCCUAGUGGAAAAGGCACCCGUUUCAUAAAAUUACCCAAAUAUGUCUGGGGCAAUGAAAUGUUUGUAUUAAUUAUUUACCAUUAAGUUGCUUUGGAUGCAAUUGUCAACAAUAACAAACUUAAAUUAAACAAUAGCGUGUGACAAAUAGUAUGUAAAAAAGACAAUCUUAUCACCAAAUGAGAGAGCAUUUGUAUCUUUCAAAACAGACAGGUCAUGCAGCGGGGUGACAGAGCCAGCUCCUUUUGCCAGCACCAGCUGCCUCUUCAACUACCUGAGGAGAAUGUGACAGCACCGAUGGUGAUUUGACAUAUUAAUAUAUGGGCAGGGAUAUAGCAAUCAAUAUGAACAGAUGUUUACAGACUUUCCUUCGUUCAGGAAUUGAGCUUUCGGUUCCAAAGGAAGUCAUUUCUGGCAAGUCUCAAACAAGCUGUGGCGACUUGUUCAGGAUGACUGAGCCGUGCUGACAAAGCCACAUUCUACAGAGGCCAAGGCCCAGAUGGACCUGGGCCCGGUACUCUGGGCCUUGGUGCUUGAGGAAUGUGGCUUUUAGCAAUCUCAGUCGAUCUGGCUAAGACGCCACAAUCUUGCUUUGAGCUUUGCCGCAACAGAGUUCUUUUGGAGCGAAGUCUCAGCGCCUGAGCAGUCAUCUCAAAGAAGGAAUGGAGAACAUCCACACAGUACCUCUCAGAAGACUCCAAGUAUGAGAUGGAAUGGCAGGCAUCAGAAGAUGUCCUUCAUGACACAGUUGCCAUGUUACAGAGAGUCCACCUGACUGACGAAAUGGAAUGGCAGGCAACUAGGGAUGAACAUGAGGACAUCGCCAACAUGCUGGAGGGACUGCAUCUGAGCGAGGAGAUGGAGUGGACACCUCAGACGGAUCCUGUAGAUGACGCCACCCAGAGGGCUGACAGACCUCAGCUGAAUCACUGAGGAGGAGAUGGACUGGGCAUGACGGGGCGCCUAAGGAUUCUUCCAGUGACUUGGCAGAACGUCUGCAGUGCCUGCCGAUGGGAGCGGAGGGAGAGGAGAUGGAAAAUGCCGAGCGUGACUGUGGUGUUCCCUAUUUUCACCGUUUGAAAGACCAGCAGAUCACAUCUCCAGUGGACUGUAAAUAAUGUACUUAAAAGUGUAAAUUGUACAUCUGACACUGUGAACCAUAUUGCUGAGUUUAAAACGGCUCUAGUAGCCUCUGGGCUCUCAUGCUCACAGUGACUUUUCCUGCUUGUGAAUUAUAACCUAUGAUUUGAUGAUGUUUGUUUUUAUAAUGUAUAUAUGUGCAUGUAUGUAUGUUUACUAAUAGACGGGUGGUGGUGGUGGUUGUACUGGAUCAAAGUAAAUGUGACAUACAUCACUUCAUCGAUGGCCUGUUUUCAGUGAUCUGGUGUUCACAAUUAUAACAUGUUUACCUACACUGAAUCUAUCUUUUGGUAAUACAAUCACACAUUAAAGGUGCUCUGCCACACAAAACAGCUACCUCCUUCGUCAGCUCUAGCCACUAAAAGAAAUAAGCGGAGAAAUUAGGGCAAUUGCAAAAGUUCUUCAGAUUGACGUGGAAUUGAUGAGCUCAUUACUAUUCAUGAGCUCGCCCA